CCUACGGGUGGCUGCAGUCGAGGAUCUUCGGCAAUGGGCGCAAGCCUGACCGAGCGACGCCGCGUGCGGGAUGAAGGCCUUCGGGUUGUAAACCGCUGUCAGAGGGGAGGAAAUGCCUGGGGGUAAUCCAUAAUCCUCCAGGUUUGACCUAUCCUCAGAGGAAGUACGGGCUAAGUUCGUGCCAGCAGCCGCGGUAAGACGAACCGUACGAACGUUAUUCGGAAUCACUGGGCUUAAAGGGUGCGUAGGCGGCGCGGAAAGUUGGGUGUGAAAUCCCUCGGCUCAACCGAGGAACUGCGCCCAAAACUACCGUGCUCGAGGGAGACAGAGGUGAGCGGAACUUAGGGUGGAGCGGUGAAAUGCGUUGAUAUCCUAAGGAACACCUGUGGCGAAAGCGGCUCACUGGGUCUCUUCUGACGCUGAGGCACGAAAGCUAGGGG
This 440-nucleotide ribosomal RNA is filed under the name uncultured bacterium. Its description in RNAcentral is "bacterial SSU rRNA". It matches the Rfam family "Bacterial small subunit ribosomal RNA", at positions 338 to 766 of the family's 1533-position model. The record is from RNAcentral.